This is a long non-coding RNA of Antechinus flavipes (yellow-footed antechinus), 699 nucleotides long. RefSeq lists it as uncharacterized. Lineage: Eukaryota; Metazoa; Chordata; Mammalia; Dasyuromorphia; Dasyuridae. The transcript is spliced from 3 exons. The record is from RefSeq and is a predicted model, not a curated record.
AUAAUGCUGGAUAGGAUAAAGAAGAGAAACUAACAAGAGACCAAGAAGGUACUGUUGAAAAGAUAUGAAGAAAACCAGUAGAGAGAGCAUUGUCAUGCAAGCCAUGGGAGAAGGGCUGGACGUCAAAAGGAUUCAAAAAAUUAGGAGAAGAAACUAUUACAUCUGACAAUUAGAAUGCAUUGUUCUCUUGGAAAAAGCAGUUUCAAUGUCCUGUUAGGACAUUGACUUAUCACGUAUAGCAAUAGAGCAGCAAAUAGUUCAGAAAUGAAUGCGCAGAGAAGAAUUGAAGCCAGAAGAAUAACACACAAAAGAGGAAGAAAUGGAAAGAGUUAAGGAAACAGUGAAUCGUCUCUUUUGCCAGGAACAUUGAGUACAUAAAGGAGGAGAAUGUGAGAUAAUGUUGGAAAGAUGAUUAAAUGAAUGGAAAAAUAUAACAUAACCAUGUCAACAAUGAAAGAUUGAGACUGAAAAAAGAGAGCAAAAAGACAGACAACAGAGAAAGGAGAAAAGGAGGGGGAGAAGAGAAGGAAAGAGAGGGCGGAGGGAGAGAGGAAGAGAAACCAGAACAAGAAAUGAUCCAAAAUUCCAAGAAGAAACUGGAGACAAUUUAUUUUGCCCACCCAGAGUGCCAUUAAAAAAAGAGAGAGAAAAGCCUUCAAGUAUUAGGGAAGGCGGUCCAGCUACUCAUUUAAUAUCUCA